This 88-nucleotide microRNA precursor is filed under the name Chlorocebus sabaeus (green monkey). RNAcentral describes it as "miRNA (ENSCSAG00000023685.1)". Lineage: Eukaryota; Metazoa; Chordata; Mammalia; Primates; Cercopithecidae. The record is from RNAcentral.
AUCUAUUAGGUUGUUGCAAAAGUAAUUGUGGUUUUUGCCAUUACUUUUAGUGGCAAAACUGCAAUUGCUUUUGCACCUACUUAAUAGU